AGUGAACGCUGGCGGCAGGCCUAACACAUGCAAGUCGAACGGUAGCACAGAGAGCUUGCUCUCGGGUGACGAGUGGCGGACGGGUGGGUAAUGUCUGGGAAACUGCCUGAUGGAGGGGGAUAACUACUGGAAACGGUAGCUAAUACCGCAUAAUGUCGCAAGACCAAAGAGAGGGGCCUUCGGGCCUCUUUCCAUCGGAUGUGCGCAGAUGGGAUUAGCUAGUUGGUGAGGUAAUGGCUCACCAAGGCGACGAUCCCUAGCUGGUCUGAGAGGAUGACCAGCCACACUGGAACUGAGACACGGUCCAGACUCCUACGGGAGGCAGCAGUGGGGAAUAUUGGACAAUGGGCGCAAGCCUGAUGCAGCCAUGCCGCGUGUAUGAAGAAGGCCUUCGGGUUGUAAAGUACUUUUAGCGGGGAGGAAGGCCAUGAGGUUAAUAACCGUGUUGAUUGACGUUACCCGAAGAAGAAGCACCGGCUAACUUCGUG
This 488-nucleotide ribosomal RNA is filed under the name uncultured bacterium. Its description in RNAcentral is "partial 16S ribosomal RNA". It matches the Rfam family "Bacterial small subunit ribosomal RNA", at positions 29 to 507 of the family's 1533-position model. The record is from RNAcentral.